GCCACUUUAGCUCAGUCGGUAGAGCAUCAGACUUUUAAUCUGANAGCCCGUGUUACGUUGAAAUCCAUUUUGAAGCGUCC
RNAcentral lists this transfer RNA (80 nucleotides) under Anisakis simplex (herring worm). It matches the Rfam family "tRNA", at positions 1 to 59 of the family's 71-position model. From Rfam's summary of the family: Transfer RNA (tRNA) molecules are approximately 80 nucleotides in length. Their secondary structure includes four short double-helical elements and three loops (D, anti-codon, and T loops). Lineage: Eukaryota; Metazoa; Nematoda; Chromadorea; Rhabditida; Anisakidae. The record is from Rfam by way of RNAcentral.